RNAcentral lists this ribosomal RNA (468 nucleotides) under uncultured bacterium. RNAcentral's name for it is "bacterial SSU rRNA". It matches the Rfam family "Bacterial small subunit ribosomal RNA", at positions 28 to 507 of the family's 1533-position model. The record is from RNAcentral.
GACGAACGCUGGCGGCGUGCUUAACACAUGCAAGUGGAGCGACGAACCAGGCUUCGGUCUGGGGCAAAGCCGCGAACGGGUGAGUAACACGUGGGUAACCUGCCCCGAAGACCGGGACAACCCGGGGAAACCCGGGCUAAUACCGGAUGUGGUCACUCUUCGCAAGGAGAGCGAACAAAGGGAGCUUCGGCCCCCGCUUCGGGAUGGGCCCGCGGCCCAUUAGCUUGUUGGUGAGGUAACGGCUCACCAAGGCGACGAUGGGUAGCUGGUCUGAGAGGACGAUCAGCCACACUGGGACUGAGACACGGCCCAGACUCCUACGGGAGGCAGCAGUGGGGAAUCUUGCGCAAUGCGCGACAGCGUGACGCAGCAACGCCGCGUGGGGGAAGAAGGCCUUCGGGUCGUAAACCGCUUUCAGCAGGGACGAGAGUGACGGUACCUGCAGAAGAAGCUCCGGCUAAAUACAUG